AACGAACGCUGGCGGCAUGCCUAACACAUGCCAGUCGAACGAGAACUCCCGAUCUUGUUGCGCAGGGGUACGUAACGACUGGUAACCUGCCCUUAGGCUCGCAAUCACUCACCGAAGGGGAUGCUAAUACCGCGUAAUGUCUUAGGACAAAAGAUUUAUCGCCUUUGGAUGGGCCCGCGUUGGGUUAGCUAGUUGGUAGGGUAAAAGCAUACCAAGGCGACGUUCCAGAGCUGGUCUGAGAGGAGGAUCAGCCACGCUGGGACUGAGACACGGCCCAGACUCCUACGGGAGGCAGCAGUAGGGAAUAUUGGACGAUGGGCGAAAGCCUGAUCCAGCAAUGCCGCGUGAGUGAUGAAGGCCUUAGUGUUGUAAAGCUCUUUUACCAGGGAUGAUAAUGACAGUACCGGGAGAAGAAGCUCCGGCUAACUCCGUG
RNAcentral lists this ribosomal RNA (433 nucleotides) under uncultured bacterium. Its description in RNAcentral is "partial 16S ribosomal RNA". It matches the Rfam family "Bacterial small subunit ribosomal RNA", at positions 29 to 507 of the family's 1533-position model. The record is from RNAcentral.